UACGUAGGGUGCGAGCGUUGUCCGGAAUUACUGGGCGUAAAGAGCUCGUAGGUGGUUUGUCGCGUUGUUCGUGAAAACUCACAGCUUAACUGUGGGCGUGCGGGCGAUACGGGCAGACUGGAGUACUGCAGGGGAGACUGGAAUUCCUGGUGUAGCGGUGAAAUGCGUAGAUAUCUGGAGGAACACCGGUGGCGAAGGCGGCAUUCUGGACCGGCAUUGACGCUGAGGCGCGAAAGCGUGGGGAGCGAACAGG
This 253-nucleotide ribosomal RNA is filed under the name uncultured bacterium. RNAcentral describes it as "partial 16S ribosomal RNA". It matches the Rfam family "Bacterial small subunit ribosomal RNA", at positions 524 to 776 of the family's 1533-position model. The record is from RNAcentral.